CAGGGGUAAAACGGUCACUUUUGCUCCAAGCACCUCCUAUGAUUUUCUACCAACAAUACAACAUUAAUCCACUAAUUUAAGCACUAAACCACCAUUAAAUCCAUCAUCAAGCAUGAGAUCAGUCCUCAAGACAAAGGUGGGAGUUCAUAGAGCCCACCCAUUUCAUUUUACACCAUAAACAAGCUACCCAAAUGCAAAUACUACCUUAUACAUGUAAGAUGAUCUUCAUAAAGCAAGAUUUAAGUGUUGGAUUAACACCUACUUGAUUAGAGGAUGAAGGCAGAAAUUUCGGCCCCUUAGAUGCUCAAGAAAACCGUGGAUAGCAGCCCUCUUUCUUAGCUUGAUGUAAUCUCCAAGUAAUUAGCUAAGAGUGGUUGAAAUUUGAAGUGAAAUGGAGAAGAUUUGGUGAAGAAAUUAGGAUGGAAUUGGAGUUGUUUUUCUCCUUUGUUAGCCGGCCAGAUGAGGAAGCAAGAGAGAGAGAGAGUGAUCAGAUUUUAGCUUCCAAGAGAAGGUUCAUUUGUGUGGCCCAUAAUUGUGCAAAAGUCAACCCUACUAACGCGCGCACUCGCGCGCGUUUCGUGCUCGAUUCCUCUCGCGUUUGUUUCACUAGUGCACUAAACCUCUAAUGCACUUAUAUUCAUAUAAAUAUCAUUCACUCUUAAUUAUCUCAAAAUAAGGGUCUAAAGUUCCUAAAUUAAAAUCACGCGUGUGAAAACGCGUAUCUCCAAUCUGAGCGCGAUAACGCGAAACUUCCGAGAAAUUCUUAUAACGAUAAUACUAAUAACUAUCACUUGAGUAUUUAAACAUUAAAAUACCUAAUUUAGGUCUAUUAUACAAAUCUCCAAUAUUCCAAACUUAUUGUACUCUCAAUCAGUCAAGAUUUCCAAAGACGUGUUCACUAUUUUCACUAAACGAGCUUCCGGAAAUUAAUUUUUGAAACAAGUCAUUUUAAAAAUAUAAUGAAACUAUAUUUCCAUGUAAUUAGGUCUCAAGAGCUUAGAAAAUAAUAUUCGGAGUAAAAGGCCAAAUAAAUAAUUAAAUAAGCGAGAAAUGGGAGAUUAAAUAAGUAAAUUUUGCGAGUCCUCACAACCUCCCCUCCUUAAAAGAAUUUCGUCCUCGAAAUUCAUACCUUCUGUAAUCUCAGACAACUCUGAACCGUGUGGUGUGUUCAUGUCAUGCGUUCUUUCAGAUGCCACUGGUCGGUUUCUCCUUCCAUUGACUUGUCGAGAGACAGUUCCAUUUCCUUGUUGAGCAGUAGUUUCUCGUGGAUACCUCCUUGGACAGUCAUGAACUUUAUGGUUGGUACUCCCACACCCCAUACACUUUCGUCCCUUUAACCAACAGUUUUCUUCAGUGUGAUUCGUCCUUCCGCAAUAUCCACAAGUCGGACGAGGUAUUAUGACCUGACUGGCUUGCGAGGUUUUCUUUGAUCGUGUCUGUUCUACUGAAGUCUUUCGCGACAUAGUUCCUUUUGGUUCCUUUAUCAUGAGUGGUGCAGGAAAUAACAGUCCUACUUCAUCCACUUCUUUUCUAACUUUGGGUGGUGGUCCAUUUUCUCCUAGUGUACUGUCAGAUGCAUCUCUUUUCCUUGCUUGAAAAGCUCUCAGUUGAGAUUUUGUGCUUUCUACCCUUUGCGCUUUUUCGAGAGCAUCACUAAAUGUUUCAACCUGUGCUGCAGCAAGGGCAUCUUGGAUUUCCAAAUCUAAUCCUUGGAUAAACCGUCUUAUUCUCUUCCGUUCAGUAGCCACCAAUUCUGGGGCAUAUGUAGAUAAUUUCGUAAAGCGUGUUUCAUACUCAGCUACGCUCAAAGUUCCUUGACGAAGCUUUAUAAAAUCAUCUUCUCUCUUUUCUUGGACAAGUGGAGGAAGAAAUUUCUCAUUAAAUUCACGUACAAAGUUUAUCCAAGUCCUUAGGGUUUGAUCCCUUUCCCACUUGUUUCUUACAACAUUCCACCAUGCUUGGCUGCUCCUUCAAGUUGAAAUACAGCAAAGGUGACUUGUCUCUCCUCUGUGUAAUCCAAGGCAUCGAAUAUAUUUCUUAUAUUCUCUAACCAAUUCUCAGCCACCUCUGGAUCAGGUCCUCCAGCAAACUUGGGUUGGGAAAAUUUCUGAAACCGCUCUAAAGGUCGAUCCUCCCCUAUUUCUUGGUUUCUACGUUGGUUUCCUUGUCCAACACCUUGACCUUGUUGAGCUACUAAGAGCUCUAGGAUAUCCGUCAUGCGAGUUAAAACUUGUCCCAUUUGGUCAUUUCCUCUCCCAGCACUUAGCUCGACAUUUUGGUCAAUAUCAGAUCCAUUAUCUACUCUUUCAUUUCGGGGUUGUCUAGGUUGACGUCCCUUUCGUUGUCCUCUAGUUUCCAUGUUCACAGCUAGUCUAUACGCACAUGCAUAAACCUCAUACUUAGCUAAAAUUGAACUAUACUCAUAUACCAGUAGCAACAUUUAAAGAGGAUGAAGUCACUUACACAAAUAACAUUAUCACUAUGCAAGUAAACACAAAGUAGAGUUCAUUACAUCAUAACACAAAUUAUGGUCAAGUAAAGUUCAUGCCAAGUCAAAGUCAAUAACAAAAAUAAACAAAUGAUUAUCACCAGUACAUUCAUCUCUAAGGCGCAAACUCUUAGGUUCUACUCCCAUCGUCUCACUAUGGAAGAUCACAAAUAGGGAUCCACUAGAUUAAUUGAAACUAGAUGAUUCUCGUUCCCUAACAUGCUCGAUUUCAAUCCCAACACAAGGAUCUUUUGAGUUACAAUAUUUUCCAACUUCCACUCUUAAUUAUUGUACCAUCUUAACCAAACAAUUAUUGGUUUCCUGUAACCAUUCACAUGAAAUAUCGAUUCAUUCUUAUUCCCCACAAAUGGAGACAUAAAGUCCCUAUGAUUGCCAUCAACUCUCAAAUACUCGGGUACAAGAAUCCAAAAUAGGAUAAUUCACAACUCGAGCCGGCCGGUCCCAAGAGUAAAUCACCACAUUCGAGAUUCCUACCCAACAUACAUAUUAAAUUCCCUCCAAUUAUCAAGAUAAAGGUUUUACAACCUACAAUAUUCAUGAUUCACAGCUUACAUUUCUAGAAGGGCACUUAAGCCUUUACUCAAUCACAAAGUAAGGACCAUAACACCACUUGGCCCUAUCUUGCUCCUUUGUAGAGACCACGCGAAGUGGCACUAAAUUUCAUCGCUACAAGCAAUCAUUUAACUUUCAGACUAGUCCCACAGUCCGGCAUCCUAAACAUUUAAGCCUAGGAUACACUACAAAGAUCUGAAACCUAAGCUCUGAUACCAACUGUGACGCCCCCACUUCUCCCUAAGGCGAACCAAAGGGUAUCCGCGGGACGCCUGCCCAGCUCUCGCCAGGACUCACUACAAUCCAUCAUUCAAGAGCUCGAAAUACUUUAAGUAACUUCAAUACAUAAUUAAAGUACUUCAAAUAUCUCACACUUACAAUUAUGUAGCUUUCAAGCUUAAAUACAACUCAACGGAAAAGGGGUACAAUAGCCAUCCGUUAUAAUAUAACUUAAAGUUUCAAAAGAAAACAAUCUAGUACUACUCACGAGCACCCUUGGUCUCGAACCCUGUAAAAGAAAACCACAACGUGGAAUGAGCUACACAGCCCAGUGAGGUUCCAAGACACUCUAACAGUUCAAAUAAAUCAAGUAAGUUGGGCAUAUCAUAUGCAUGGUUCAAGGUUACACAAUGGCAUGUUAUCAUGAGGUGAUAAUUUUUGUACGGGUAAUUUGAGACAUUUAUCAUGGUAUGAGACAUUGGCAUGUAUAGUUCACGAGUGAUUGGAACUUAUUACCGGUGCGAGUAAUUAAACAUAUUACAGGUAUGGAGCAUUAACAUGAAACAGGUUUCAUGAUAUGAGUACAUUGAACAGGCAACAGGUAUGGAGCAUAUCGCAGGCAUGGCUCAGGAUUUCAUGUUGACAUUUUAGCAUGAAACAAUUAUCAUGAUACAAGGUAAACAUAUACUGUAGGAUACGGUGUUCCAGUGGAACUCUGUCGGUCAUCUGUACCUUAUGACUUCCAAAUCCCCUCGGUUUGACUGGCCAUCACCUUAUCCCUCCAGUGGUAAUACUCGAGUAUACCGAAACGGUGUCCCAAGGUUCCAACCUACCCGACCGAGCCCAGUCCUGGCUCGAGUAGGUUAGUAACGAUGAGAAGGGCCCAAUUCAGCUUAGAGCUUACAACAUGCACAAGUAAUCAAGUAAUUCGGCAAAAGGUAAAAUUCAUCAUUUGAGUAGGUCGAGUGAGGUAAAGUACACACUCGCCUAACAAUGAUGGACAGCUUCAUAUAACAUGCGAUUCAUGAUAAUCAAGUGAUCAAGUAAGUUGGUGAUCACGUAAGCAGAUAAUCAAGUAAGCAAGUAGCCGAAUGGAUUAGAAAACGGUAAGUAAACACGGUAAACGGUAAACGGUAAACGGUGGUAAUUACGGUUAAUUGGUAGACAUAUGUCAUUUUAAUAGGCCACCAUUGGCCGUUUUUCACUUUUUCCACAUAAGAGUCGAGGAGAUUCACUCCAACCGACUUUUACUGUCAUAGCAUAAUUAAUCAUUUAAACACAUCAUGUAGAUAUGCUCUCCAAGCAUUUCAUAUCUAGUAUUUCAAGUAAUCACAUAAAUAUGCUCUUUAAGCAUUUCAUAUCGAAUAGUUCAAAUAUACAUAUUUCAGGUAUUUCAUGUCGAGUAAUUCAAGUAUACCUCAUUCAGAUAUGCAUGAGUGUGGUAAAUACUUAACAUAUAGCACUUAACAGUUAAUAAUCAUGGGUUAUGCAUGUCAUAGACUUAUUCCAAUUACGUAUUCCUAUAUGGAACACUCACCUAUAGCAACAAGAGAGUAAUACUCAAACAAAUGUCUAGGCGUCCACUUCGAGUUCCUCUUGAAGGUCCCCUUGAGCGCCUGGGCAAAUAACCAUUAACUAUUAUACACUAUCACUUAGAACCCCUACUUAUCAAAGAAGGUUAUACAAUCUAAGGAGAAUUCAUUAAUUGGGCCUUAAUUAUUAAUAAUCGAGGCUCAAGAGUAAAGUUUUAAAGUCUAAAGAGAGAGACUAAUAUUUUCCAUGAAAUGGAGUUCAAAAUGUUCAAUCGGUAUCGAGAAAAGAAGGCAAGUUUCCAAAAUCUCAUUUUCUAAGAAAUUGAUAAAUUUCAGCUUUGGGUGUCAAUUUUAGAAAAAUUGUAUCCUGCACUAUGUAGGUCCAAAAUUGGAAAGCUUGAUACCAUUGGAAACUUCUUCAAAAGCGCUAAAAGUUCCUAGAAGAUACUUUUCCAUGAUUCCAAACAGAAGGUAUUCAAAAAUUGACUCAAAGUUGCUGCUUGGGACCAUUUAGACAGUUUCGGGGUUGGUUUUUGACCAUCUUUGAAAAUCCAGCAAAAUUCAUACAAUAUGAACUAACCUCCGAAAUUUAUAACUCAAUUAGAGCUACAAUCAAAGUUUAAAACAAAACAAACGGUACAAGAAUUGAAGUUUUGAGCGCCAAGAUAUAGCAGCUCAAAGUUGGCUAAAAAUUCCUCCUCGAUCAAGAAUUUCCAGAUUUAAACAUGAACUUUGGGACUUUGUUUGAACAUCUAAACAGACUCGAAAUGGUACCAAAUUUGGUAUGAUUAUACUACCAUAAAAGGGCUAUUCCUCUGUCAAAUUUCAUAGAAAAAUAUGCACGGAAAGUCACUUAACGAAAUCACUCAAGUUUCCAAAUUUUUAAGGCAAAGCUGCCUCGUGUAUGAAAAUUUCCUUUUCUAAACUUUUGACCAAGGGAAGAUACCUAAAACAUGUCUCGUUUAUGAUAAUCAGGUCUAGCAAGAAUUCAAAAUACAUUUGAUAGGUGAUUUACAUCAAGUAUUUCGAAAUAACAAGUCCCAAAUCAUUGUUAGUUACAAAUCUGUCCAAGUGGAAAAUUCUAUCACUGUAGCUGUUUCAAACUUUGGCCACAACUCACUCAAUUCAACUUAGAAUUGGGCGUGGUUGAUGGCGUUGGAAAGCUCUCUCAUAAAUCUGAGUUUUCUCAGAAGAAACCAUUUUCAAAUUCCAUUCACAAACAGCUCUUUUUUGAGCAUGAAGAUACAAGUCCUGUCCUGUCUCCUGGAGAGAAACGAAACAGGACAGUGAUUUUCAAUCGAAUGGUGUGGCUCCCUCAAGUGGAACCAGAACGUGAAAUUGUUACCAAUGGAAAGCUGGGAAUGUCUAGUUUCCAAUGCCACAAACGGCACUUGAUUUCGACAUCGGAGCAAAGAGUUAUAGCCGAUACAAAAUGACUGCCUGGGCAAUACGGGAUUCAUUUUCCAGUUUUGCUAACUUUGGAAAUCAACUCAUUUGACCAACCAAAUCAUGUUAUUUUUCAAUGAAAUUUUGUACACACUCACACUAACAUGUAAAAAAUAUAAUCAAGUCAUUAGAACCUCAAAAUUGUGCACAAAAUGGUCGGACAAGACAGGGGUAAAACGGUCACUUUUGCUCCAAGCACCUCCUAUGAUUUUCUACCAACAAUACAACAUUAAUCCACUAAUUUAAGCACUAAACCACCAUUAAAUCCAUCAUCAAGCAUGAGAUCAGUCCUCAAGACAAAGGUGGGAGUUCAUAGAGCCCACCCAUUUCAUUUUACACCAUAAACAAGCUACCCAAAUGCAAAUACUACCUUAUACAUGUAAGAUGAUCUUCAUAAAGCAAGAUUUAA
Molecule: long non-coding RNA, 6667 nt
Filed under: Coffea arabica (coffee)
Lineage: Eukaryota; Viridiplantae; Streptophyta; Magnoliopsida; Gentianales; Rubiaceae
Description: long non-coding RNA (CARA_LNC005637)
Source: RNAcentral